This 450-nucleotide ribosomal RNA is filed under the name uncultured Glomeromycotina. RNAcentral describes it as "SSU rRNA". It matches the Rfam family "Eukaryotic small subunit ribosomal RNA", at positions 569 to 1023 of the family's 1831-position model. The record is from RNAcentral. Lineage: Eukaryota; Fungi; Glomeromycota.
AGCAGCCGCGGUAAUUCCAGCUCCAAUAGCGUAUAUUAAAGUUGUUGCAGUUAAAAAGCUCGUAGUUGAAUUUCGGGACUAGUACGCUGGUCGUGCCUUCGGUAUGUACUGGUGUUACUGGUUCCUACCUUCUGACGAACCGUCAUGUCAUUAAUUUGGUGUGGCGGGGAAUCAGGACUGUUACUUUGAAAAAAUUAGAGUGUUUAAAGCAGGCUCGCGCUUGAAUACAUUAGCAUGGAAUAAUGAAAUAGGACGUUCGAUCCUAUUUUGUUGGUUUCUAGGAUUGACGUAAUGAUUAAUAGGGAUAGUUGGGGGCAUUAGUAUUCAAUUGUCAGAGGUGAAAUUCUUGGAUUUAUUGAAGACUAACUACUGCGAAAGCAUUUGCCAAGGAUGUUUUCAUUAAUCAAGAACGAAAGUUAGGGGAUCGAAGACGAUCAGAUACCGUCGUAG